GUCCACGCCGUAAACGAUGUAUACUAGAUAUUGGGAGAUUGACCCUUUCAGUGUCGAAGCUAACGCGAUAAGUAUACCGCCUGGGAAGUACGGUCGCAAGACUAAAACUCAAAGGAAUUGACGGGGGCCCGCACAAGCGGUGGAUUAUGUGGUUUAAUUCGAAGCAACGCGCAGAACCUUACCUGGGCUUGAAAUCCCGAGAAGAUCGACCAAAAUUGAUUGUGCUCUUCGGAGAACUCGGUG
RNAcentral lists this ribosomal RNA (243 nucleotides) under uncultured bacterium. Its description in RNAcentral is "partial 16S ribosomal RNA". It matches the Rfam family "Bacterial small subunit ribosomal RNA", at positions 793 to 1033 of the family's 1533-position model. The record is from RNAcentral.